UUUCCACGGUCUUCCUUCCAGGUCUCCUCUAGGAAGGGCGUCGCGGUGCCCCUGAACUUAGUUCUGCCGGGUGCGCGCCGACUAAUGACUGUUGGAUGCCUUUACGGUCUUAAC
Molecule: non-coding RNA, 114 nt
Organism: Ailuropoda melanoleuca (giant panda)
Lineage: Eukaryota; Metazoa; Chordata; Mammalia; Carnivora; Ursidae
Source: Rfam